RNAcentral lists this ribosomal RNA (407 nucleotides) under uncultured bacterium. RNAcentral's name for it is "bacterial SSU rRNA". It matches the Rfam family "Bacterial small subunit ribosomal RNA", at positions 355 to 776 of the family's 1533-position model. The record is from RNAcentral.
UUAGGAAUCUUGCGCAAUGGGCGAAAGCCUGACGCAGCGACGCCGCGUGACUGAUGAAGUCUUUCGGGAUGUAAAGGUCUUUUGUGGGGGACGAAGGAAGUGACGGUACCCCACGAAUAAGCCCCGGCUAACUACGUGCCAGCAGCCGCGGUAAUACGUAGGGGGCGAGCGUUGUCCGAAUUCACUGGGCGUAAAGCGCGCGUAGGCGGGCUUUUAAGUUGUGGGUGAAAUCCCGAGGCUUAACCUCGGAGCUGCCUGCAAAACUGGAAGCCUUGAGGUUUGGAGAGGGAAGUGGAAUUCCAGGUGUAGCGGUGAAAUGCGUAGAUAUCUGGAGGAACACCCGUGGCGAAGGCGGCUUCCUGGCCAUAUCCUGACGCUGAGGUGCGAAAGCUAGGGGAGCGAACGGG